This 468-nucleotide ribosomal RNA is filed under the name uncultured bacterium. RNAcentral describes it as "partial 16S ribosomal RNA". It matches the Rfam family "Bacterial small subunit ribosomal RNA", at positions 28 to 507 of the family's 1533-position model. The record is from RNAcentral.
GACGAACGCUGGCGGCGUGCUUAACACAUGCAAGUCGAACGGAAAGGCCCUGCUUUUGUGGGGUGCUCGAGUGGCGAACGGGUGAGUAACACGUGAGUAACCUGCCCUUGACUUUGGGAUAACUUCAGGAAACUGGGGCUAAUACCGGAUAGGAGCUCCUGCUGCAUGGUGGGGGUUGGAAAGUUUCGGCGGUUGGGGAUGGACUCGCGGCUUAUCAGCUUGUUGGUGGGGUAGUGGCUUACCAAGGCUUUGACGGGUAGCCGGCCUGAGAGGGUGACCGGCCACAUUGGGACUGAGAUACGGCCCAGACUCCUACGGGAGGCAGCAGUGGGGAAUAUUGCACAAUGGGCGGAAGCCUGAUGUAGCAACGCCGCGUGCGGGAUGACGGCCUUCGGGUUGUAAACCGCUUUCGCCUGUGACGAAGAGUGAGUGACGGUAAUGGGUAAAGAAGCACCGGCUAACUACGUG